UGCAAGUCGAACGGAGUAUGUAACCGAGACUUCGGGUCUCACCUGAUAUACUUAGUGGCGGACGGGUGAGUAACGCGUGAGCAACCAACCUUAUGCAGAGGGAUAACAAUUAGAAAUGAUUGCUAAUACCUCAUAAGACCACGCUAUCGCAUGGUAAAGUGGGAAAAAACUCCGGUGGCAUAAGACGGGCUCGCGUUCGAUUAGCUAGAUGGUGGGUAACGGCCUACCAUGGCGACGAUCGAUAGCCGGACUGAGAGGUCGACCGGCCACAUUGGGACUGAGACACGGCCCAGACUCCUACGGGAGGCAGCAGUGGGGAAUAUUGCACAAUGGGGGAAACCCUGAUGCAAGCGACGCCGCGUGAGUGAAGAAGUAUUUCGGUAUGUAAAGCUCUUUUAGCAGGGAAGAUGAUGACGGUACCUGCAGAAAAAGCCCCGGCUAAAUACGUGCCAGCCGCUGC
RNAcentral lists this ribosomal RNA (460 nucleotides) under uncultured bacterium. Its description in RNAcentral is "bacterial SSU rRNA". It matches the Rfam family "Bacterial small subunit ribosomal RNA", at positions 56 to 518 of the family's 1533-position model. The record is from RNAcentral.